UCACAAUAACGCUGCCCAGGCGCAGCCAUGAUUUAAUUAGAAACUUAUUGUCAAAGGAAGUUUGUUUUUUAUAUAGUCGUGCACACUGAUUAAUUCAGUUCAGGUCGUACGUUUAUCUUCCCUUGCUAGCCGAUUAAUAAUACUUAGUAUGUUUUUGGUCAUGAUAUAUGUUUAUAACCUGUUGCCCCCUUAUUUAUGCAAUCUUGCAAAGGGGAUGCUGCCGAAAUUUUAUAUAUGGACGUCAGAAGUGUAGUUUAGUAGCAUUCUGGGUUGUUUGUGGAACCUGGGGUGUUACAGUUAUGGUUAGCACUCUGCUAUUGCCUUAACUUAAUCAAUGAACAUGAUGUAACUAUUUGUGAUACUGUUAUCCUGAUGAUGUUGAUGAUCUUGUGAUACUCUAGGGGGCUCAGGCUGUUUCCUGAGUACCUCUCCGUAAGGACUUGUUCGUUGAGAGACCACCCGGGAUAACAGUGCAACCAUGAGGGUGAAAUGGGAUGCCCUUAGCCAAUUAAUUAGAGGAACUAGAGGUGUAGUUGCUUAGCCGUCGUGCCGUCAAUGGGGUCCAGGCACAGUGCUUGCUCUGCCGAGGCUGAGUGCCGAGGUUCUUUCGUUUUGCUCUUUGUUAGUCACUCUCCUGCGGGGAGGGGUACUGUGUUUAUCAAACUGGAGAAACCUAACGGGCAGCUAUGAUCUCUAGGGAAUCUUUGUAAAAGCUACGUAGUGAUGCCCUGCCGGACCACCUAGGUAGUGGUCAAUGGGGAUUAGCUCUCCCCGGGUAGAAAGGGAAUCAUGACUCAUGGGUAAAGUGUGCAACCUCUGCAGAGGGUAGUGAAACUGAUAUAUCAGCCGUGCUCACGGUUAAGAGCAGCCUUGGGAUCCUCUUUGAUUAGAGAUACAGAUGGUUCGAGAUGCAAGGAUUAUGUUAUGGUUUUGGUUCGACGAUGAUGAUGAUGUUCCUCGAUGAGGAAAUGGUUUACGGGUUGGUUAAUGCUAAAAUCUGGCUUCUACUAAUGAUAAAUACCUGACCAACUAAAAGCAACUGCUUGAGCCUAACCCCACAUAAAGCUAGUCCACUUCAGCCAAACGGGACAUUUGCUGAGUACGUUGAUGUGUACUCAUCCUUGCUUUACCACCAAACACCAGGUUGUCCGCACUGUAACCACUGCUCAGGAGGAGAUGAAGUCGUGGAAGGAGACUUCCAGGAGUUCCAAGACUACGACGAGUUCUAGGUGUGGGUUGGCGGCAACCCCCAGUCAGCUGCCUGUGGAGGCCUUAUCUUUACUGCGUUUCGCUAGUACUUUGAUUUACUUGUUAAGACAAUGAAUACGUGGAUGUCUAUGACUCAAUGAUGUAAUAAGUACCCUUUUAUGUUAUUAUUCGAGCAUUGUGUGAUGAUGUUCAUUUAUGUAAUCGCUGUGUACGUGAGUUCUGAUCCUGGCACGUACAUAGUUCGCAUUCGGUUUGCCUUCCAAAACUGGGUGUGACAUAAGUGGUAUCAAAGCCAUGCUGACUGUAGGACCGCUGACCUAGAGUAGCCCUGGUCGUACUAAGGACUAUUGACCCUCCCCCCUCACCUUGACAUCUGAUGUUACUUCAAAAAGUCGGUCACCUCGACCAACCCUAUGCUUUACUAUCCAUACCUUGUUAAAAUUUUUAUCUUAUUCUGUCUUUGGUUUAUUCACUUGUCAUAUUAGUUCUGCUCUUACUCUUGUGCUUACGGUGUCUUUUGUAGAUGGCUCGUCUUAGACACACUGCACGUAAGUCGGUGAUUCCUUUCCUGCCGUCUCGACUUGCGGAGCGUCCUCUGCACCGCACCGUGUCCGGACAGUCGAGUCACCUGGAGAGGCUGCACCACCGCCUGCGUGAGGAGCAGGAACGCCGGCGCCAGCACGGAGAGCAGCAGGGCUCUUCCUCCUCACCCCAGCAGGAGGUGGAGACCGUGAGGCCCCGUUCCUCUGUUGCCCAACUGGAGGCACCCCCUGCACCACCGCGGGACGCCCCGGCUGUUGGAGGAGCUACUGGAGGAGACCCCGACGACGACGACUCAGACCACAGCACGGAGUCUUCUGAGCCGCAGGAGGCGGAAGGAUGGGUCGCCCGACCCAUCACCCGUGACGCCGCUCGCGGUUGCCACUUCCACGACGCACUCGACACCUUGCUGCGCCAGGCUUUCGACCGGCACACCUGGUCGAUCGAGUAUCGUUGUGUAGUCUACCAGCACAGUCGCGGGAGGUACCCGGACCGCUGGGAGGCUACCUGCCUAGUUCGCCGUCCGGAGGAUGACCUCCGGGGUGCGGAGGCCGUUUCGGAGCACUAUUCCAUCUCCGAGAGGGACACUGCAGAGGCGGCUAUGCAGGAUGCAGCACGACGUGCACUCUCCCAGUACUGUUCCUUGUUCAGUGGCGUGGCCGACGGUCUUAACCUUCGGUACUACCCCCGCCGCCCUACUGGCAGCACAGAGAGUGUGGUUGUCUCACCUGUUGGUGAGGCUAACCCUAGGUUGAGCAGCACAGUCAACCUAGUCGCAGUGCUUAACACUGAGCUGGACCACUCUCUGGACGAGCUAAGCAGGGCUCGAACGGAGAUUGCGGAGUUGCGUGCUGAGCUGGCAGAGCGCCAUCACCAGGAGGGUGGUUCCCCCGCUCCUGUUGGGACUCAGCACCCAUACCGCUCACCGCCACGUGGUCACCACACUUAUGGUUCCCCUGUCUGUAAGACCAGGAUAGAUCUGGAUCCUUAGACCGUUAGCGUCGGAGUUUGUAAUAAUCCUUAAGUCAGAUGUCUCAGUCUUAGGUAGUCAGUUUAGUUUGCUUAUCAGUUGCUUCCAUUUAGUUUAGUUUGCUUAUCAGUUGCUUUAUUGCUUGUUAUGGUGAACCUGUGCUGGAUUUGAAUCUUUGUAAUGACUGUUGCCAACCUGUGGGUUUCCCCUGCAUUUUGGCCUAGCUAGUAAUGUUAAUGAAGUCAGUUGUUUAGUUGGGAAACCAUUUACUCUUACUUUCCUUUCUUAUCUGAGAAGCUGUGUUGAAUCAUAAUGAGGAUCAGUGAAGCUCUUUGUUCACUCAGUGUCAUGAAGGAUUCUGUAUUCUCUUUUCUUAUGCUGAAGGGUUGUAAGAUCAAUGCUGAUGUAUGAAUGUCUUCCACAGAUGUCUGACAACAGGCGUCGAUGCAACAGGCGUGCUCAGCAAGAGCAGCAUGACCAGCAGGAGGAACAACAGAGGCAACCUCCCCCACCACCCCCGAUGUCAGUGGAGCAGAUGUUUUUGAUGCAGACUCAAGCAGUGCAGGCCAUUGGGCAGACUCUGGUAGCCAUGCAGUAGGCUCAACAGCAACCCCAACCCCAAUUGCAAGUGCAGAUGCCCCAGAUGCCACGAGAUAAGCGUGGUGAGUUCAUGAGAGGGCACCCUCCUACCUUCGCCCAUUCUGCUGACCCCAUGGAUGCAGAAGACUGGCUGCGCGCAGUGGAAAGGGAACUGCGCACCGCCCAAUGUGACGACAGGGAGAAGGUUCUAUAUGGUCCCCGUCAGCUAAGGGGAGCAGCCCAGUCCUGGUGGGAGUCCUACCUCGCCACCCAUGCUAACCCCGAAGCCAUCACCUGGGAGGAAUUCAGCGAGAGUUUCCGCAGGUACCAUGUGCCGGAGGGACUGAUGAUCGUGAAGAAGGAGGAGUUUUUGGCUCUGAAGCAGGGACCCCUGUCUGUUAGUGAGUACAGAGACAAGUUUCUGCAGCUGUCUCGUUAUGCACCUGAAGACGUCAACACUGAUGCUAAAAGGCAGUACAGGUUCAUGAGAGGUUUGGUGGAUCCCCUGCAUUACCAGCUGAUGAAUCACACCUUCCCCACCUUCUAGCACCUGAUCGACAGGGCAGUUAUGACCGAGAAGAAGCGUAAGGACAUGGAAGAUCGGAAGCGCAAGAUGAGUGGACACCAGUUCGGAGGCAUCAGCCGUCCACGUUUCUCAGGCAGUUCAUCUCAGCAAGGCAGACCUGGUCACCCACAGGGAUAUCAGAAUCAGAAUCAGCGUCCGCAUCAGCAGCAAUUUCAGAGGCAGUACCCGCAGCAGCAGCAGCAGUAUCGUCAGCACAGCCAGCAGGGAGGUAAUCAAUAUCAGAAGCAGAACAACCAGGCACCUCGCCUUCCUGUCCCAGCAGCAAAUCAGAGCAACCAAGCAGCCCCAGCACAAGGAGGAGGCAGAGGAUGUUUCCACUGUGGAGAUCAAGGCCACUGGGCGAUGCAGUGCCCAAAGAAGUUGGCGCAGCAGCAGACCAACCCCAAUGCUCCAACAAGGCAAGGUGUACUGCAGCCAGCAGCAGGCAAUCGUAACCAAGCGUACAACCGUGGAAAGGUGAACCACUUGGAGGCCGAAGCGAUCCAGGAUGCACCAGAUGUGGCAGUAGGUAUGUUCUCAGUCGAAUCUCAUCCCGCAAAAGUGCUAUUUGAUACUGGUGCAACUCAUUCGUUUGUCACUACAACAUGAGUAGAAUUGCAUAACAUCUCAGUAGAGGCAAUGAUGCCGCCCAUGAGGAUUAAUUCGGUUGGUGGCAAGGUGCAAACAGAUAAAAUAUGCUCAAAUGUAAGGGUGGAAAUAAGGGGGAUAGGGUUCCCCAGUGAUCUAAUAGUAAUAGACACCCUUGGGGUAGAUAUCAUCCUAGGGAUGAAUUGGUUAAUGAAGUAUGAGGCGAAUGUUAGUUGUGACAAGACGACCGUAACAUUGAAGUCCCCGUCAGGAGAAGAGGUAGUGGCCGAGCUAUGGAUGCCCAAAUCAGCGGAGGGAGCCUGUCAUCAGAUUUCAGUUGAUAGUAAGGAGCCCAACCCGCUCAAGGCUAUCAAGGUUGUGUCGGACUUUCCGGAUGUGUUUCCCGAGGAGCUAACGGGCAUGCCACCCGAGAGAAAGGUUGAAUUUGCCAUAGAGCUUAUCCCUGGUACCGCCCCCAUUUCCAAAAGAGCCUAUCGAGUGUCUGGACCAGAAUUGGUGGAACUCAAGAAGCAGAUAGAUGAGAUGUUAGAGAAGGGUUACAUCAGGCCAAGUACCUCGCCUUGGGCCGCUCCAGUGUUGUUUGUAGAGAAGAAAGAUGGUACCAAAAGGAUGUGCAUAGACUACAGAGCCUUGAAUGAAGUCACUGUCAAGAACAAGUACCCCCUGCCCAGGAUAGAAGAUCUGUUUGACCAGCUCAGAGGUGCCAGCGUAUUCUCGAAGAUAGAUCUGAGGUCAGGCUACCAUCAAUUCAGAAUCCGACCCUCGGACAUACCGAAGACGACAUUCAUCACCAAGUAUGGGUUAUAUGAUUUCACAGUUAUGUCCUUUGGUUUGACAAAUGCGCCAGCCUUCUUUAUGUACCUGAUGAACAGCGUGUUCAUGGACUAUCUAGACAAGUUUGUGGUAGUGUUCAUCGACGACAUUCUCAUAUACUCUCAAAGUGAGGAAGAUCAUGUAGAGCAUUUGAAGAUGGUAUUGCAAAGGCUUCGAGAACAUCAGUUGUAUGCCAAGCUGGGCAAAUGCGAGUUCUGGAUUCAUGAAGUCUUGUUUCUGGGUCACAUCAUAAAUCAAGAUGGGUUGGCAGUAGAUCCAAAGAAAGUAGCAGAUAUCCUGAACUGGAAAGCACCGAAGGAUGUUCGCGGGAUCAAGAGCUUCAUCGGAAUGGUUGGAUAUUACAGGCGUUUCAUUGAAGGCUUUUCAAAGAUUGCUAGACCGAUGACAGCGUUACUAGCGAAGAAAGUUGAGUUUAAGUGGACCCAAAAGUGUCAGGAAGCAUUUGAAGAACUGAAGAAUAGAUUGACUACAGCUCCUGUGUUAGUCCUGCCUGAUGUUCACAAGUCAUUCUCAGUGUAUUGCGACGCUUCUUACACCGGAUUGGGAUGUGUGCUAAUGCAAGAAGGGAGAGUUGUAGCAUACUCGUCUCGACAGUUGAAGAUCCAUGAGAAAAAUUAUCCCACACAUGACCUGGAGUUGGCAGCAGUGGUUCAUGCUUUAAAGACCUGGAGACAUUACCUGUAUGGGCAGAAGUGCGACAUCUACACAGAUCAUAAAAGUCUGAAGUACAUAUUCACCCAGUCAGAGUUAAACAUGAGGCAGCGAAGAUGGUUGGAACUGAUCAAAGACUAUGAGUUGGAGAUACAUUACCAUCCGGGCAAAGCCAAUGUUGUUGCAGAUGCUCUGAGCAGGAAAAGUCAAGUUAAUAUGUUGGCCUCGCACCCAAUGCCAUAUGAGUUAGCCAAGGAAUUUGACAGACUGAGCCUUGGUUUCCUGAACAGUACGCAAGGAGUAACGGUGGAAUUAGAGCCCACCCUAGAGCGGGAGAUCAAAGAAGGGCAGAAGGAUGAUGAAAGCACCAACAAGAUCCGACAACUGAUCUUAGAAGGAAGAGGCAAAGACUUUCGAGAGGACGAAGAGGGAGUAAUAUGGUUCAAGGACCGAUUGUGUGUCCCCGACCUCAAACCUAUUCGGGAGCUGAUCCUCAAGGAAGCUCAUGAGACAGCCUACUCCAUACACCCGGGAAGCGAAAAGAUGUACCAGGAUUUAAAAAGGAGGUUUUGGUGGUAUGGCAUGAAAAGAGAGAUCGCAGAAUAUGUCGCCAUCUGUGAUAGCUGUCAGAGAACCAAAGCAGAGCAUCAGAGGCCUGCCGGAUUGUUGCAGCCUUUGCGGAUUCCUCAGUGGAAGUGGGAUGAGAUCGGGAUGGAUUUUAUAGUUGGCCUACCUCGUACCCGGGCCGGUUAUGAUUCCAUCUGGGUGGUUGUGGACCGCCUAACAAAGGUGGCCCAUUUCAUACCUGUGAAGACAACAUACACCGGAGCAACGUUAGCUGAGUUAUACAUGUCACGGAUAGUCUGCCUUCAUGGUGUGCCGAAGAAGAUAGUGUCAGAUCGAGGAACGCAGUUCACAUCUCAUUUUUGGCAACAGCUACAAGAAGCUUUGGGCACCCAUUUGAACUUCAGCUCAGCUUAUCACCCGCAGACAGACGGUCAGACUGAAAGAACUAAUCAGAUCCUAGAAGAUAUGUUGAGAGCCUGUGCGUUGCAAGACAAGUCAGGAUGGGACAAAAGAUUACCUUAUGCAGAAUUCUCCUACAACAAUAGUUACCAGGCCAGCUUGAAGAUGUCACCGUUUCAGGCACUCUAUGGACGGAGUUGUAGGACUCCGCUGCAUUGGGACCAGCCUGGAGAGAGACAGGUGUUUGGCCCCGACAUCUUGCUUGAAGCUGAAGAGAAUAUCAAAAUGGUUCGGGAGAAUCUAAAGACAGCCCAGUCAAGACAGCGAAGCUAUGCGGACCGAAGGAGAAGAGAACUGAGUUUCGAAGUGGGAGAUUACGUCUAUCUGAAGGUGUCACCUAUCAGGGGAGUCAGAAGGUUCGGAGUUAAAGGCAAGUUAGCACCCUGGUACGUCGGACCAUAUCAGAUUCAAACAAAGCGUGGAGAAGUGGCUUACCAACUCAACCUACCAGAAAGUUUGUCGGCAGUGCACAACGUGUUCCACGUGUCGCAAUUGAAGAAAUGUCUGCGAGUACCAGAAGAGCAGUUGCCAGUGGAGGGUUUGGAAGUUCAGGAAGAUCUGACCUACAUAGAGAAGCCAACGCAGAUUUUGGAGUUUGCAGACAGGGUCACCCGGAGAAACACCAUCAGAAUGUGCAAAGUCAGAUGGGGUCACCACUCUGAGGAAGAAGCAACCUGGGAACGAGAAGAUGAUCUAAAAGCCAAAUACCCUGAACUCUUUGCUGACCAACCCUGAAUCUCGGGGGCGAGAUUCUUUUAAGGGGGAUAGGUUUGUAACACCCUGAAUUUGGGGGUAUAAAAUUUCUUUGCUCAUAUUCACAAAUUCAGGUGUUACUUCCCUUUUUUCAUCCUUUCCCAAUCUUCUCUUUCUCAUUUCUAUAGGAGAAAAGUGGUUAUUUUAUUUGUAAUUAUAGUCUAUUAGCUCAAACCCUAAGGGAAUAUGAAUUGUUGCAUCAUGUUGAACCCUAGAUUUCACUUUUGUUUGGUGCAUAAUUCUCAAAAAGUCUAAUUUGAAUUUGGGGCUCAUUUGAAUUUGAAUCAAAUAGAAUAAAUAAAAGAAAAGGAGAAAACAAUUCCAAAAUAAAAGAAAAAGGCAAAGCAGCCCACUUCCCCGCCCCCCUCGGCCUUUCGGCCCAGUCGGCCCACCUCGCGCGCGCGCCUCUCCCCCCUCCUCUCUCUGCGCAACGGGCCCGGCCUGUCGGCGCGGCCGCCUUCCGCGCACCCGCCUCCCUCUCUCUCUGUUCGCCCGGCCCCACCUGUCGGCGCUGCCACUUCCCCGCGCGCGCCCGCUCCCUCGCUCUCUCUCUGCCCGUGGGCCCGGCCCGUCAGCCCCGCUUCCCUCGCGCCCGCACCCGCUUUCUUCUCUCUCUCUGCGCCGCGGGCCCGGCUUGUCAGCUUCUCCGUCUUCGCGUAACCGCCGCCGUGCGUGCCGCGGUCUCCGCGCCCACGUCGCGCGUGGGGCUCGCCCCACCUCGCCCUCGGCCACUUGAGCCCCGAGCCUUGCUCGCCAUCUCCCCCUCCCUCAUUUGCGCACCAACCGGCCCCCCUCUUCCACCUCUCCCUCGCUGUGCGCACGCCAGAGCGCCGCCGCCGUAAACCCCGCCGUUCCGAGCUCGGUUCCCGGCCGCCGUUGGAGCUCCGCCGUGUCCAUUGCCACGGUGAGCUUCGCCCCGACGUCCGCAACCCGGAACGCGCACCAAUUUCCCCUUCCCCUCCCUAUUUCUCUCUGCCCGCGCUCACCCGCCGUCCGCCGUGCAGCCGCCACCGUCGACCCGGGUCACCGUCGCGUCUCCGUCGCCGCCGAGGAGUCCCCGGAGCCCGCCUUGAGGUAAAGAACCUCUCCCGCCCCUAUUGGCCUUUAUUUUGCUCUCUGCUGCGUUUGAUUGCUCGUCGGAGUUGCUUACCGCCGCCGCCGCCGAGCCACUCCGCCGUGAGCCACCCCCCCCGGUGCCCCUGCCCCGACCCAGACCCCACCAAUGGAUUUCCCGUGCCCUCCCUAACCUCCCCGGCCACUCGGAUCGCACCAAGGACCCGCAGGGCCCCGCGCCCCUCGUCUCCGGCGAGCUCCUCCGCCGCGGGGACGAGCGCCACCGCCCCAGCUAGCCGAAGGAGACGGGAGCCAGCCACCCCAUCCCCGCCGUCUAUAUUAGAUCAGACGGCACGGAUUCAAAUAGCCCGAACCCAGCCUCAGCCGUUCGCCUGAGAUCCAACGGCCCAGAGCCGUUUCCCCCGCGCUGCCCGCCCGGCCCCGCCUGCCAGUCGCCCGCGCCCGCGCUGCCCGCCCGGCCCCGCCUAUCAGCCUCGCGCCCGCGCUGCCCGCCCGGCCCCGCCUGUCAGCCGCUCACGCCGCCGCGCGCCCGCGCGCCCGCCGCGGGAUCUAAUCCUGGCCGUCGAUCUGAGAUCCAACGGCUGUAGGCGCCCGAUACCCCUUCGCCCGCGCAUUUUCUUAAAGAACCCCCCUGUUUUCGGGAAAUUGCGCCCGCCGUCCCUGGUUUCGUGCAGUUAGGUCCUCGGACCUUUUAUUUAAUUCAAAAUAGGUCCUUAGGGUAUAAUUUUAACCCCUAAACUUGUAAAAUUCAUAACUUUGUCAUAUGAACUCCAAAUUAGGUGCUUCAAAUUGCAAAAUGUGCAUAAUAUUAUUAUCUAUCUGUUUAUGCAAUGUUUCCCUGCUGUUUCCAUGUCCCAAUUAAUGGUUAAUCAUUAGGAUAAAGUUAAUGUUAUGGGAACCCUAUUUGAGAUAAAUAAAAGAUAGUAGACUUUAAUAAAAGUUGGAGCACUUAAGUUUAUGGACUUAAACACCUAAAUUUAGGAACUUAAACCAGAUAAUUAUUUAAUCCCACCACUGACUUAAACUUGAUUAGUGGAUGAUGAAUCACUUUGUAUAGUCCUCUACCCCAGACCUAGGGAACACUAGAGUGCCUAUCCCUUUUCUGUUAUGAACAUGUGAUCUCUCUCUGCUGCAUAUGUUUGGUAUAUUGUUUUUGUUUGUUAUUUUCCCAAGUGCAUAGUGUGAAUGAUUGCUUUACGUAGACAACGAGCAGUCUGUGUUUCCCGAGGCAGUUGCAGAAGUCCCUGAUCAGCAGUUUGGUGAAGGCAAGUGUCCUCUGUCCCAUUAUGUCCUAUUCAUUCAUAACUUACUACCCCGCAUUACUUACUUGAAACCUAAGGAUUGACUAGCUUUACAUUUUACUUUAUCCUUGAUGACCUUAUGGGCUGUUAUGGUUAGCACUCUGCUAUUGCCUUAACUUAAUCAAUGAACAUGAUGUAACUAUUAGUGAUACUGUUAUCCUGAUGAUGUUGAUGAUCUUGUGAUACUCUAGGGGGCUCAGGCUGUUUCCUGAGUACCUCUCCGUAAGGACUUGUUCGUUGAGAGACCACCCGGGAUAACAGUGCAACCAUGAGGGUGAAAUGGGAUGCCCUUAGCCAAUUAAUUAGAGGAACUAGAGGUGUAGUUGCUUAGCCGUCGUGCCGUCAAUGGGGUCCAGGCACAGUGCUUGCUCUGCCGAGGCUGAGUGCCGAGGUUCUUUAUCUUACUUGUGUAAAAAUUUCAUGACCAUAGGUCUAGUAGUUUGGGAGUUAUGAUUUUCUCAAGUCUAGUCUUGGAAUCUAUUCAGAUUCUGUACAGAUUUUGAAACUGACCUUGUUUGCCCAAGUUAAACUUUGAAUCAGUUCUUAUAAAUUAUAAAGAAGUGGAGUACUUUCCUUAAGAUUUCCAACAAAUAUUGGAUCACCCUUUUUGGUGACCUAUAAGUUAAGCUACAACUGUUUUAAGUGGAAUCUUUGAAUCUGUCCAAAUGUGGACAGCAAAGCCUUUCUUAUGUCUUUUGACCUUGAUAUGCAUUGAAUUAACCUGAUAUGUUUAUAAAUGAAAUAUAGACAAUUUUACUGGCUUUCAAAAAAGUCUAGGAGCGCCUAAAUUGGAUGACUGAGACUCCAAUUAUGGAUUUUUUUAAGUGAGUAGUUGAAUUCUGUCCAAGUCUGGACAAAAUUUACGUUUCGCAUUGUUUGUCCUUUCUAAGUGUCAAAUCUUGUGGUGAUGAUAAUACCAAGGGUAUAGUGGACUUUGUAAGCUUUCCAUAAAGUCCUGGUUUACUACUGUUGGAUGCAUAUUUUGUGAGUUUAUGAGCAAAACAAUUAACCGUUGUGCUGAUGUCUAGAAAUAUGCAAGCAUUAAAUUGAUCUUUUGAAGUUACUCUUGUUUGGAUAGGUUUGGUUUAGGCUAUUGGAGCACAGUAUGUAUUGCUUUCAUUAUAUAUAUUCAUUGAAGUACUUGCAUGUGUCAAUGUUGAUUUGGUGUCAGGAAAACUUUGUCCGGGUUAUAUAGGACUGUCUAUUAUCUUAGCCCGAGUUGGCAGCUUGGCUUAGCACAUGCAAUUGUCGGAGUCUAUGAUCAGAGUACGCCAUGUAUUCCAUGUCUCUAUGUUGAGAAAGUAUUUGCGGAAUCCAUAUCAAUAAUCGAGCUAGAGUCGAUUCCCAUAUAGCAAGACCUGACUCUAGAGUGUCGUCUGCUGCGUAUCCUAGAAUCCUUGAAGCUCGAGGAGCUGAUGCGGCAGAAGUACCCCGAACUUUUCGUUAUGGGGUGAGUUUUUGUUGUCGCUGAUCUUUCCUUGUCGUUCCGAUAGGAGCGUCGGAAUUCGAGGUCGAAUUCUUUUUAAGGGGGGUAGAGUCUGAUACCCGGUUUGCAAAGAAGAGAAGUUGAAGGUUAUUCUUUUUGUUUGUUUUUUCUCUUAUUCGGGUGUCGCGCUUUGGGGAUUUAGAAUUUGUGGAAAAACAUUCACCAGUAUAGCAGUAGAGUGGUUGGUCGGGAGCUGUCGUGCAAGCGAGUUGGGCCGCGAAUCGCAAUUCGGCCCACUAACCCUCCCCUAACCCUAGCCGCCCCCCCUUUUUCCCCCUUGUGUUGUUGCAGCCGCCGCUUCCCCUCCCCUUUCUCUUGGACGCCCCCCCCUCUCCCAUCUUCUUCCUCCUCAAACAUUUGCAGCCCUCACCACCCAAAACCCUAGCUGCCCCCCCCCAUUUCUUCCCCUCCUCCCAAGGUGCAGCCCUCCCGUGUGGUUCUCCGUCGUGUGGCUGCGAUCUCAAUUGGAGUUUGGAGGGAGGAAGAAGGAAGGAGUAAGGGAAGAACCUAAGGUGAAUUUGUGAUUAACUUUUGUUGUUUUUGUGCUGCAAUCAAUUGGAUUAUGUGUUUAUCUUUGCGAAUCGGUAGAGGUGCUGUCCAGGAAUUUUGUGAGUGGGUGAACAGCAGUAGUUCUAGGGAUUUCUGGGAAUUUUCGUGGGGUAAUUAGUGGGAAUCAGUGGGAUAAUCAUGUAGAUCUUUGUCAUACCUUUCCAACGAGUACUUAUGCGCUCGAUUCGGAGUUAUAAUUUAGGAGAUAUCGUCGUUUGAAUCCGGGUAUGUUGCUGUCCAAAAAAACAGAUUUUUCAGGUGGGUGAACAGCAGUAGUAUUAGCAGUUUCUGGGAAUUUUCGUGGGGUAAUUAGUGGAAAUCAGUGGGAUAAUCAUGUAGAGCUUUGUCAUACCUUUCCAACGAGUACUUAUGCGCUCGAUUCGGAGUUAUAAUUUAGGAGAUAUCGUCGUUUGAAUCCGGGUAUGUUGCUGUCCAAAAAAAACAGAUUUUUCAGGUGGGUGAACAGCAGUAGUAUUAGCAGUUUCUGGGAAUUCUCGUGGGGUAAUUAGUGGGAAUCAGUGGGAUAAUCAUGUAGAGCUUUGUCAUACCUUUCCAACGAGUACUUAUGCGCUCGAUUCGGAGUUAUAAUUUAGGAGAUAUCGUCGUUUGAAUCCGGGUAUGUUGCUGUCCAAAAAAACAGAUUUUUCAGGUGGGUGAACAGCAGUAGUAUUAGCAGUUUCUGGGAAUUUUUCGUGGUUAAUUAGUGCUAACCAGUAUGAUAAUCAUGUAUGGCUUUGUCUUAUCUUUCCAAUGAGUACUUAUGCGCUUGAAUUGGAAUUAUAUUUUAAAAGAUAUCGCUGUUUGAAUCCGGGUAUGUCGCUGUCCAAAAGAGAAAAAAACAGAUUACAGGGUUCAACUUGUGAACUGUUUUGGGCUAAUUAGAUGUUGGAAUUUAAUUAUAAAUUGUAUACAAAACUUGUGGGGAAUUUUAUGUAGAUGCCUCUGGAGUUUUUGUUUGUUACCAAUGCUGUCAUAAUUUUGAAGUUAUGAAAUUAUUAAGCAGCGCCGCUACAGUUUGGUGGGUGUGGGGAGAGAUGUAACCCGUGGCGGGGUUUGAGUUUGUGCGUAGGUGCGGCGUCGUUUAUGAGCCUGGUUAUGUGAAAUUGGUGCACUAAGUUGUGUGUCAAAAACAGGUGGUGGACUUCCGGAUCGUACUUAGGGAUUUGCCCGAACUUCCGGUAAAGGCAAGUAAAUAUAGUGGUGGUUGCUACCGUUUGGUUUGCAUCCUAUUCCCUGUCAUUGAGUAUGCAUAAGUUUUUAAUUAUGUUAAUCAUUGAAUUCUAUGAUGAAGUUUAUUUGUUUGGAAGUAUUAAUUCUCAAUUGUCUAAUAUUGUGGAUGAUCAUAAUUUGGUUAUGAUAUAUGUGGUUGAUUCCCAUCUUGGAUGAAGUUGAAGUGUCUUUUUGAAUCACGUUAUAUGAAGUGUUGUAGGCAUGACAUGCACAUCGCAUCAUCCAUCUUGCAUUUUGAAGUUAUGUCGUGAUCUUAUGGUCCGACCGUACCGGUACAUUUUUAGCAUCGUAUGUUGCCCGAGGAGGGGUACGAUGCGGCUUCAUAUCCUUAGAGGUAUGAAGGCAGAAGUCAUCCUUGCAUUUGCAGACAUUUGCAUUCAUGAGGAAUAUAUGAAGUGUGACAUUACUAUGUUACUAUUGUGGUUUCUACCUGCGAGGUGUGGUAACUAGGUGUGUUGUACGUUGUAUACGUGCUGCAUCUUGGUAAUAAGAAGGUUGUGGAAUCAGGUGGUGGUAAAACAAUGUUCUUAUGUGGUUGAAUAGUUUGAUAAUAUUUUACUUGCUGAGAUAUGUCAUCUCACUCUUGCAUUACUCAAUGCAGGUACUUGAUACAUGUUGGGAAUGAGGGGAGUAGCAGCACGUCCACUUACACUCUCACAAUAACGCUGCCCAGGCGCAGCCAUGAUUUAAUUAGAAACUUAUUGUCAAAGGAAGUUUGUUUUUUAUAUAGUCGUGCACACUGAUUAAUUCAGUUCAGGUCGUACGUUUAUCUUCCCUUGCUAGCCGAUUAAUAAUACUUAGUAUGUUUUUGGUCAUGAUAUAUGUUUAUAACCUGUUGCCCCCUUAUUUAUGCAAUCUUGCAAAGGGGAUGCUGCCGAAAUUUUAUAUAUGGACGUCAGAAGUGUAGUUCAGUAGCAUUCUGGGUUGUUUGUGGAACCUGGGGUGUUACAGUUAUGGUUAGCACUCUGCUAUUGCCUUAACUUAAUCAAUGAACAUGAUGUAACUAUUUGUGAUACUGUUAUCCUGAUGAUGUUGAUGAUCUUGUGAUACUCUAGGGGGCUCAGGCUGUUUCCUGAGUACCUCUCCGUAAGGACUUGUUCGUUGAGAGACCACCCGGGAUAACAGUGCAACCAUGAGGGUGAAAUGGGAUGCCCUUAGCCAAUUAAUUAGAGGAACUAGAGGUGUAGUUGCUUAGCCGUCGUGCCGUCAAUGGGGU
RNAcentral lists this long non-coding RNA (14592 nucleotides) under Zea mays. RNAcentral's name for it is "long non-coding RNA (ZMAY_LNC004943)". Lineage: Eukaryota; Viridiplantae; Streptophyta; Magnoliopsida; Poales; Poaceae. The record is from RNAcentral.